AGCAGCCGCGGUAAUUCCAGCUCCAAUAGCGUAUAUUAAAGUUGUUGCAGUUAAAAGCUCGUAGUUGAAUUUCGGGGUUAGCAGGUCGGUCGUGCCAUCGGUAUGAACUGGUCUCGCUGAUCCCUCCCUCUUGACGAACUGUGAUGCCAUUAAUUUGGUGUCGCAGGGAAUCAGGACUGUUACUUUGAAAAAUUGAGUGUUUAAAGCAGGCUCACGCUUGAAUACAUUAGCAUGGAAUAAUGAAAUAGGACGUUUGAUCCUAUUUUGUUGGCUUCUAGGAUUGGCGUAAUGAUUAAUAGGGAUAGUUGGGGGCAUUAGUAUUCAAUUGUCAGAGGUGAAAUUCUUGGAUUUAUUGAAGACUAACUACUGCGAAAGCAUUUUGCCAAGGAUGUUUUCAUUAAUCAAGAACGAAAGUUAGGGAUCGAAGACGAUCAGAUACCGUCGUAGUCUUAACCAUAAACUAUGCCGACUAGGGAUCGGAUGAUGUUAAUUUUUAAUGACUU
Molecule: unclassified non-coding RNA, 503 nt
Filed under: uncultured Glomus
Lineage: Eukaryota; Fungi; Glomeromycota; Glomeromycetes; Glomerales; Glomeraceae
Description: SSU rRNA
Rfam family: Eukaryotic small subunit ribosomal RNA
Source: RNAcentral